GACUUUACUCUAUGCCGGAUCGUCUGACUGGUUCCCUCGUCAUCUACUCUUCAUUUUGGACCAUGACUGCCUGUUUCUAUUCUGCUCAAAACCUCCAGACUCUGAACUAACCAAUCUGCCAGCUAAGUUUGCUUUAUGCUGGAAGAGAAAAGGCAGAUCGUUCAGCCACCUCUAGAGGGCAGUCUUCCUCUAUAGAUGACCCCAGAGCUGCAUGGAUCACUCGGUGGCCCAGUCAAACAGGAAUUCAAAGUUGAACGCCGGCAUCAACAAAUCCUCCACAACUUCAGACACCACAGUUCCUCAAGGCAAAACUGGUCAGAGGCUGCAGAUUAAAUCAGCCCAGCUGUCUCUAAUUUAGUGGCGACUUCCAGCAGCUCACUCCUGGUUUGACCCCCACAACUUGUCCAAUAACUUCACCAAGUGCCAGAUGACCUCAGUGAAGAAGAGUCUGUACAGGUGUG
Amphiprion ocellaris (clown anemonefish) is the source of this 461-nucleotide long non-coding RNA. RefSeq lists it as uncharacterized. NCBI's taxonomy places the organism in Eukaryota, Metazoa, Chordata, Actinopteri, Pomacentridae. The record is from RefSeq and is a predicted model, not a curated record. The transcript has 3 exons.